UCGUACCUACGGGGCGCAGCAGUGGGGAAUAUUGCACAAUGGAGGAAACCCUGAUGCAGCAACGCCGCGUGAAGGAAGACGGUUUUCGGAUUGUAAACUUCUGUUCUUAGUGAAGAAAAAUGGCGGUAGCUAAGGAGCAAGCCACGGCUAACUACGUGCCAGCAGCCGCGGUAAUACGUAGGUGGCAAGCGUUGUCCGGAAUUACUGGGUGUAAAGGGAGCGCAGGCGGGAAGCCAAGUCAGCUGUGAAAACUACGGGCUUAACUUGUGGACUGCAGUUGAGACUGGGUUUCUUGAGUGAAGUAG
This 305-nucleotide ribosomal RNA is filed under the name uncultured bacterium. Its description in RNAcentral is "bacterial SSU rRNA". It matches the Rfam family "Bacterial small subunit ribosomal RNA", at positions 331 to 654 of the family's 1533-position model. The record is from RNAcentral.